This 375-nucleotide ribosomal RNA is filed under the name uncultured bacterium. RNAcentral describes it as "bacterial SSU rRNA". It matches the Rfam family "Bacterial small subunit ribosomal RNA", at positions 521 to 896 of the family's 1533-position model. The record is from RNAcentral.
UAAGACGAACCGUGCGAACGUUGUUCGGAAUCACUGGGCUUAAAGGGCGCGUAGGCGGCUUGUCAAGUCAGGGGUGAAAUCCGGCAGCUUAACUGUCGAAGUGCCUUUGAUACUGACGAGCUCGAGGGAGGUAGGGGUCUGUGGAACUUCUGGUGGAGCGGUGAAAUGCGUUGAUAUCAGAAGGAACGCCGGUGGCGAAAGCGACGGACUGGACCUCUUCUGACGCUGAGGCGCGAAAGCUAGGGGAGCAAACGGGAUUAGAUACCCCGGUAGUCCUAGCCCUAAACGUUGGGUACUAGAUAGUAGACUUUCAUGGGUUUACUGUCGAAGCAAAAGUGUUAAGUACCCCGCCUGGGGAGUAUGGUCGCAAGGCUG